AAAAUCCGUCGACUUUAAAUC
Molecule: transfer RNA, 21 nt
Filed under: Wittmackia lingulata
Lineage: Eukaryota; Viridiplantae; Streptophyta; Magnoliopsida; Poales; Bromeliaceae
Description: partial tRNA-Leu
Source: RNAcentral